RNAcentral lists this ribosomal RNA (253 nucleotides) under uncultured bacterium. Its description in RNAcentral is "partial 16S ribosomal RNA". It matches the Rfam family "Bacterial small subunit ribosomal RNA", at positions 524 to 776 of the family's 1533-position model. The record is from RNAcentral.
UACAGAGGGUGCGAGCGUUAAUCGGAAUUACUGGGCGUAAAGCGUGCGUAGACGGUAGCGUAAGUCAGAUGUGAAAGCCCCGGGCUUAACCUGGGAAUGGCAUUUGGGACUGCAAGGCUAGAGUGCGGCAGAGGAGACUGGAAUUCCUGGUGUAGCAGUGAAAUGCGUAGAUAUCAGGAGGAAUACCGAUGGCGAAGGCAGGUCUCUGGGCUGACACUGACGCUCAUGCACGAAAGCGUGGGGAGCAAACAGG